UCGCGUAAAGCGCCGUAGGCAGGAGCGGGGGACCCAAGGUAGGCGCCGCACGGGGCAGUUGACCGAGCGGCUUGGGGUGAAGCCGUGUCUCGCACGCAGCGAGUCACGGCCGGGCAACUCAACCGGCCCGAACCCGACAGCUCACCUCGCAGGCGUCGGUGAGGGGAUCU
Molecule: small RNA, 170 nt
Filed under: Streptomyces regalis
Lineage: Bacteria; Bacillati; Actinomycetota; Actinomycetes; Kitasatosporales; Streptomycetaceae
Description: c-di-AMP sequence
Rfam family: c-di-AMP riboswitch aptamer (ydaO/yuaA leader)
About the family: This family represents a conserved RNA structure found upstream of the ydaO and yuaA genes in Bacillus subtilis and related genes in other bacteria. The ydaO/yuaA element is thought to act as a genetic "off" switch for the ydaO and yuaA genes in its native state. It is believed that the element may be triggered during osmotic shock leading to activation of ydaO, a predicted amino acid transporter gene, and members of the yuaA-yubG operon which code for KtrA and KtrB K+ transporters.
Source: Rfam by way of RNAcentral